Molecule: long non-coding RNA, 312 nt
Organism: Notolabrus celidotus (New Zealand spotty)
Lineage: Eukaryota; Metazoa; Chordata; Actinopteri; Labriformes; Labridae
Exons: 3
Source: RefSeq, a predicted model, not a curated record
CUUUGGCAGCAAAGCGUGAGGAGUGUUUCAUGUGUUUCCUCCUAACCUUUCUUUUCCCUCCAAGCCACACCUGAUCACCUAAGCCACGCCCCCUACACUAUAAAAGCCUGCACCCAAGCCUUUGUUCUUCCUUUUUCCCUCCAAACCUGCCAUGUGCCAGUGACUCCUUUUGUUGAAAUGUUUGUACCAUGUGGUUUUGAACUAUUACCUGGAGCGGAUGCAUUACUGAUCACAAAUCAUCCACAUCCGAACUCAGUCCUUUGUCUGCACUGAGCUGAUCCUUUCUGUUGAGCAAUAAACCUUUGUAACCUG